Molecule: ribosomal RNA, 253 nt
Filed under: uncultured bacterium
Lineage: Bacteria
Description: partial 16S ribosomal RNA
Rfam family: Bacterial small subunit ribosomal RNA
Source: RNAcentral
UACAGAGGUGGCAAGCGUUGUUCGGAUUUAUUGGGCGUAAAGGGUCCGUAGGCGGAUCGGAAAGUCGGAUGUGAAAUCCUACAGCUUAACUGUAGAACUGCAUUCGAAACUCCCGAUCUUGAGUGUGAGAGGGGUGAAGGGAAUUCCCGGUGCAAGGGUGAAAUCUGCAGAGAUCGGGAAGAACACCAGUCGCGAAGGCGCUUCACUGGCUCACUACUAACGCUGAGGGACGAAAGCUAGGGGAGCAAACGGG